This 795-nucleotide ribosomal RNA is filed under the name uncultured bacterium. RNAcentral describes it as "bacterial SSU rRNA". It matches the Rfam family "Bacterial small subunit ribosomal RNA", at positions 8 to 796 of the family's 1533-position model. The record is from RNAcentral.
AGAGUUUGAUCAUGGCUCAGGAUGAACGCUAGCGGCAGGCUUAAUACAUGCAAGUCGAGGGGCAGCAGGGUGUAGCAAUACAUCGCUGGCGACCGGCAAACGGGUGCGGAACACGUACGCAAUCUACCCAUAACUGAUGAAUAGCCCUCCGAAAGGAGGAUUAAUACAUCGUAACAUAAUGAUGAGGCAUCUCUUUAUUAUUAUAGCUCCGGCGGUUAUGGAUGAGCGUGCGGCUGAUUAGGUAGUUGGCGGGGUAACGGCCCACCAAGCCUACGAUCAGUAACUGGUGUGAGAGCACGACCAGUCACACGGGCACUGAGACACGGGCCCGACUCCUACGGGAGGCAGCAGUAAGGAAUAUUGGUCAAUGGACGCAAGUCUGAACCAGCCAUGCCGCGUGAAGGAUGAAGGUCCUCUGGAUUGUAAACUUCUUUUGUGUGGGAAGAAAUCCUUGAAUUCUUUCGAGGUUGACGGUACCACAAGAAUAAGCACCGGCUAACUCCGUGCCAGCAGCCGCGGUAAUACGGAGGGUGCAAGCGUUAUCCGGAUUCACUGGGUUUAAAGGGUGCGUAGGUGGGCCUGUAAGUCCGUGGUGAAAUCUCCAAGCUUAACUUGGAAACUGCCAUGGAUACUAUAGGUCUUGAAUACCGUGGAGGUGAGCGGAAUAUGUCAUGUAGCGGUGAAAUGCUUAGAUAUGACAUAGAACACCAAUUGCGAAGGCAGCUCACUACACGAAUAUUGACACUGAGGCACGAAAGCGUGGGGAUCAAACAGGAUUAGAUACCCUAGUAGUCC